UUUUCGGAGGCAGAACAAGGUGUGGAGCUUCUGCUUCUAAAGGCAAAGCACAGCCACGCGUUAGAAUGUUCAGUUUUCCCGCGAAUAAUACAAAUCAGUGCGCGUAAACAAGGAUGCAUACGAAAAGCGCCGUAUUGCUUGGCUGCCGAGAAAGCACGAAGCAAGAGAAGUAAAUCCUUGCCUGCUGUUAUCACUUCAUCACAGGGUCCAGUCGGAGGAGCGGAUUUCAAUGGGAAGCGGCCGUCGGUGCUAGUGCGGUGUUUCGCCCCCAGGCGCCGCAACUGGAGUAUAGAGAUGCCGCCGCGUCGUCUCUCGCGCAAACGAAUGCCGCGGCUAUAUUCUAAGCAGCUAUAUGUCUUGGUUUUCAGUUGUAUCAGCAUUGUUUGAGAUGUAAUGGAAACUCGGAGACGAGAAUCGCGAAGCACUUGUUGUUUUGGACACCCAGCUCAUUUCAAAGGCGUUCGCGACUAUUUGAUCGAGGCGCUCGCGUCGUAUGCUAGGCUGAUACCAGAUAGCUCAAGCUAGUAAUCCGUGGAAGAUCGUUUUGUCACCGUGGCGUUCGCUUGACUGAGAGUUGCUUUUUUGACUAACUGAAAAACGACUUUUGAGAGAAGCCUUUGCCAGAAGAUAAUAAUAAAAGCCUGUGUGCCUAAUGUUCCCCGAUGCUUGCUACUCUCUGGUGGUGUAGCACUUUAUGCGCAAGCCUGUAGUCCAUGCAAUAAAUAGCACUAAAUGCCACUAGACUGCU
Molecule: long non-coding RNA, 748 nt
Organism: Rhipicephalus microplus (southern cattle tick)
Lineage: Eukaryota; Metazoa; Arthropoda; Arachnida; Ixodida; Ixodidae
Source: RefSeq, a predicted model, not a curated record